This is a long non-coding RNA of Macadamia integrifolia, 4987 nucleotides long. RefSeq lists it as uncharacterized. The transcript is spliced from 2 exons. Lineage: Eukaryota; Viridiplantae; Streptophyta; Magnoliopsida; Proteales; Proteaceae. The record is from RefSeq and is a predicted model, not a curated record.
CACAAGCACAAAUCAAAACUAAUUUCAUUCAAAUAUAUUCACCUUAUCUCAACAAUGAAUGUAUGCAAGUAUGUAAAGAGAAAAUACUAAGACUCCUACUUAGACUCUUAACAGACUCCUAUUUCUCUUACGUAUCCUAUCUUUAAACAAAUAUGAUAAAAUAAAAUACAUAUUAAUAAACUAAAUUACUACCAGCCCUUGUUGGACCAAAAACUUGGGUUGGACCGGUUCUUCUUAGCCCUAGCCUUACACAAUCGGUUAUGCUGGUCCAACCAGGUAAGUGCAACUGUAUCUGCAUUAACUUUCCUCAUCUGAAAAGAACUCAAUUCCGUCGAGUUUGGAUGAGGUCCAAGAAUGCCGUCUGAGUCGAUGCGCUUGAGGAGAAAAGUACCAGCUGUCCUCUUGAGUUUGAGAGGGGGAAGAUCCUUUGCUGGAAGGAACUUCAUCUCAAGGCCACCAUGCUGAAAAGAGUAUGUCUUCUCAUAUCCACAGUGCUUGGCUUUCUUGUUGAACAACCAUGGGCGCCCCAAAAGAAUGUGACAGACUUUCAGAGGGAGAACAUCACAGUGAAAUUGAUCAAUCAGUCCACCAAUGGAAUACAUGAGCAAACACCUUUCAUUAAUUUUCAGGUUAUUGUUGUUCACCCACCCAACCUUGUAGGGUUCGGAUGAGGCUCAGUUUUCAAACCCAACUUGCGAACAUCUUCAGCAACAUUGGUACAACUGUCGGGGUCAAUCACCAUAUUACACAAGCUGUCAUUGCAUCCACCCUGGUCUAAAAGAUACUGUGACGGCGCUAAUCGUCAUCGGGAAUCUUCUGUGUAGUCAAAAGAGGACGAAUCACAUAGAACAAUUGAGGCUCACCAUCACUGUAACCAUCAUUAAUCUCAUUAGGCUCACGAUCACAUUCAGCCUCUAGAUUUACUGUUAUUGUUUUCGAUUGCUUUUCUGGUACAUAGGGUAUAAAAUUAUCUUUGUCGAUGUAUGCUAACAACCUGUUAGGACAUUGAUUAGCUCGAUGCCCGUACCCCUUGCAUUGAAAACAUUGAAUAACCUCCUUUGGAAAUGCUGAAUUCCUGUUAUAACCACGCUAAGGUGAGGAGUAUGGAUGAUUAGGCCAUGAAGAUGACAUGUUUGAAUCGCGUCGAGGUGGAGAAUACGCCCGGCUGGGUCAUAAAGAUGCCAUAGAUGAAGCAUUAGCCUGUGGUCUGUUGAUUGACUUUUCCUGUGGAGAUGACUGCGGCUGAAUAGAACUAGGACCUUUAGGAAAAAAAUCUGUAAAUGGCCUCCGAUUUUGUAGGCAUUUCAGACUUUUCUGAACCUGAUAUAUUACUCGUACGGCUUCUUCCAUUGUAGGCAGUCCGCUAGAUGCAAGGGCAACACUAAGUUGAGGGUGCAACCCAUGACGGAAUUGUGCUACCAAUACUUCAUCCCACCCAAAUCAGAACGAGUGGCCAAAUAAUAAAAUCUAGCAACAUACUCUUCAACGGUCAAAUUCUCCUGUUUCAGCUGUGCAAUCCUGAGAUGCAUGCGUUGCUUGUAAUUAGAAGGCAAGAAUCUCUGGUUCAUGACUUCAUGCAUUUCAGCCCAAGUAGUGACUAAACCAAUGCCUCGGGCUUGGUUUGGUUAUGUUGCUAUUGCUUGAUCCACCAGACUCGGGCCGUGUCUUUCAAUUUGGCAUCUGCAAAUAGGAUCUUUUAGGCCUCAGUCAACCCGUACCAUCUGAAGAGCGUCUCAAAACUGUGAAUUCAGUUAAGGUACAAUUUUGGAUUGUUGUCUUUAUAAAAAUCAAGGACAUCCAAUUUUGCUGCUCUUUCUACUCCAUCAUAUCUACCAGUUCCAUAUGGUGGUGGAGGCGAUGGUGGCGGUGUAUGGUGAGGUGGUGGUAGUGGUAGUGACAAAUCCUGUGGAGUGGUGUUGGAAGAAUCCCCAGAUUGAAUGAGGUUUUUUCCUCUAUCUGUUGCCACCAAAUGAUCAAUAGAAGCUUGCAUGGAUCCCAUAGAAAUUGGCAUGGAUCCCAUAGUAACUUGCAUGGAUUCCAUCAUUGUCUUAAGGGAAAGGACAACGGUAAUGAGAGCUUUAAUUUUUGCAUCAGUUUCUCCCUUAUAGGAGUUCAGCUGUUGAACAACUUCACUAUUGGCUACAUUAGUGAUGAUUAACAGAAUAACACUCAAAGAAUAAUGGCAAUAUAGUAAUUAGAUGGAAACUUAAAAGGAGAAUGGCAGAAUGGUAAUUAACUCUUUUUUUUUAUUAUUAUUAUUUUUUUAAAGGAAGGUAGAAUUGUAAAUAUGGGGAAUGCUAUUCUAAACACUAAUGAAGGUCAUGUAUGGGUAGGGGCAAACUUGGAAGUUAAAGAAGAAAUUAGGGUAGAAAAGGAUAAAGGAGGAAGGGAGGGGUAUUAUAGUAAAUAAUAAGAUAAAGAAAAAGAGACAAAAGGGGGAUCGUGGGGUGGAUGGAGUUUACCGACAAAGGUGACUUUGUUCUCCCUUUUUGGAGACAAAAACCAGAGAGGGUGGUUCUGCUAAGCUGCUCAGUUCAGCGAAGGGAGGCAAUGCCAAGAUUUGUCCGACUGGCAGUGGUGUUUCGACCCAGCAGCGGAGUUGUGAUAAACUAGGUAUGUCUCCGCCUUUCUCUCUUUUCUCAUUGUCUUCCUCUUCUGUUUCUGUCUUCUCGUUUCUUUUUUUUCGCUGUUGGAACCCUGAAGAGGGGUUCCACUGAGAACAGGUCAAGAGGAAAAGGAGGGCUCUUCUCGUUUUCUUUCCUUCUUCUUCCUUUGUUUCUCUGGCAAAACCCUAAAGAGGCGGCUCCGUUCUCUGUUUUGAACAAAAAAAAUUUUUUUUUGAGUUUUUUUUUUUUCUUUCUAUUCUCAGUCUCGGUAGAACCAAAACAGAUAAUGGGGAAGGGAAGAAAAAGAUGGAAGGAAGAAGGGGAAUGGUGAUCCUUAGGCUCUGAUACCACUGUUACGGUCAUGGAAGAACUCAACCCCAUAAACCGGCUUACAAGGUGAGGGGACCCAAGACUAUAUCAACCCAUAUCAAUUCCCAUAGGAGACCGAUGUGGGAUCAACUCCCAUAAGCUGAUAUGGGAUCGUAACAUAUCACCACGCUUCCAAACCCAAUGUCCACGGCGGCCAACUCCUGAUCAGGUACCCCUUUCUGAGCGCCUUUCACUCUGCUCCAAGGUUUUUGCCUGACGGCAAGUAGCCCUUUCCUAGUGGUUCUCACUCUGGCACCAGGUCGCCCCUUCCGCGUGCGGGUUGGGCCGAGGAUCGGCUGCUCUGAUACCAAAUUGAUGGAGGGCCUUAGGGAAGAAAGGAAAAUCAGAAUAGAAGAGGGGGGGACGCACAAACUCACAAGCACAAAUCAAACAAUUUCGUUCAAAUGAAUUCACCUUAUCUCAACAAUGAGUGUAUGCAAGUAUAUAAAGAGAGAAUACUAAGACGCCUACUUCUCUUACGUAUCCUAUCCCAAAACAAACAUGAUAAAAUAAAAGACAUAUUGGACCAAAAACCUGGGCUACACCGGUUCUUCUUGGCCCUAGGCUUCCACAGCUGGUCAUGCUGAUCCAACCAGGUAAGCGCAACUAUAUCUGCAUCAUAGGGUAUCCUACACCUGCUCUCAGAUAUUUUUCUAUUCAUUUUUUCUGUUCAAAAUUAUAAUAAAAGAACCAUGUGAGGAGGCAUAGGCUACUCUGCUUGCAUGGGGUGAUUUUUCCCAUAUAUAUGGCCAAUGGUUUUCCACGCCACUAGCGUGGAAGGAAUCUCCAUGCCGCAGUGCCACACCAAUCACGGUGCCGGAGACAGUUUUGUUCAGUAGGGCCCACAAGGUGUUUGAGGGGGGGUGUGUGCAAGUGCGGGAUCCACAACUUAUUGUGUGAGAGGUACGUACACAACUAUGGACUUUUAAUUCUCUUGCUAAUCUAUUUUUCCCAUGGGGAAAAGAGCGUUCCCUGGUUGCGCAGCCCCUUCGCCAGUGUGGGGCCAACAAGGGGGGUGCACAUGGGCAUAAACAGAAGUGGGUUUUUUGGGUUUCACAGGGGUAGAGGUGUCAUUUUUCCGCCCUCUGUGUUUGGGUGUAGGGGCUGCACGAUCAGGGAGCAUUCAUUUCCCCUUUUCCCAUACCUUCCACUUCUAUGCAAGAAGUCCAGAGCCACUCAUCAGCCUUCAGCCUCCCCCUUCUUUUCCUCAUUUAUUUGAGAUUUGUUCACGGAUGUGUUGCUGUAUUAAUGAUGCUGGGCAGCCUAGACGGGUAGAACAUUUUGGCAUUGAAAAGAUCCUCCUUUGUGUUUUUGUUUUUUGUUUUUUGUUUAUGUUUAUGUUUAUGUUUUUUUUUUGUUUUUGUUUUGUUUUGUUUUGUUUCAUUUUUUGGGUUGGGGGUGAACUUGGGCCAUUAUUGUAGGAGGACCUGAGUUGUUUUUUUUUUUUAACAGCAGUAUACUGUUGAAUUUUAUGCCCUUUUCAAUCUCUUCUACACCCCCCCCACCCCGAACUUUUUUUUUUGGUUGCAAAAAUGUCCCUUUCUAGAUGGCAAAUAUAUAAUUUUCUGGCAUUGUGUUCUCUCUUACAAACUUAUCAAUAAUCCUCAGAAACGGCGAGAGGAGAUGGAGAGGCUUGAAAAGGAGAAACAGGCAGAGAUACGGAGCUACAAGGGCCUGAUGAUCCAAGAGAAGAUGACCUCUAACAAACAGGUUGCGUCGGGAAACAAGUCACUGCAAGAACUGGAAGAGGAUUUCAUGUAAUUCCAGCAAAUAGAAGCAAAUCCUUCAUAACUAAGAAGCCUUGACAUGGCAAACUUGAUUGCUUAGUUCCCCAAGGAGGGAAUCUGCCUGAAAAGAGAAAUCUGUUGAUUUGCCUAUUUCUGAAUUAUGGGGAUGAUUGAUGAACAUGAUAUAAGUUUUGUUCCAUUGAUUUUAAGCAAGGGCCUGAUUGAUACUUGGUUCUGCGAGCCAUUUCUUGCAAGAUACCAUUAAUUUCAAUAAUUUUUUUUCUC